Molecule: transfer RNA, 81 nt
Filed under: Ipomoea nil (Japanese morning glory)
Lineage: Eukaryota; Viridiplantae; Streptophyta; Magnoliopsida; Solanales; Convolvulaceae
Rfam family: tRNA
About the family: Transfer RNA (tRNA) molecules are approximately 80 nucleotides in length. Their secondary structure includes four short double-helical elements and three loops (D, anti-codon, and T loops).
Source: Rfam by way of RNAcentral
GACGGUUUGGCCGAGUGGUCAAAGGACGCCAGAUUUAGCCUCUGGUCUAAAACGGCGUGGGUUUAAAUCCCACAGCCGUCA